This 731-nucleotide ribosomal RNA is filed under the name Salmonella enterica. RNAcentral describes it as "partial 23S ribosomal RNA". It matches the Rfam family "Bacterial large subunit ribosomal RNA", at positions 1918 to 2648 of the family's 2925-position model. RNAcentral also lists the same sequence under 2 other names. The record is from RNAcentral. Lineage: Bacteria; Pseudomonadati; Pseudomonadota; Gammaproteobacteria; Enterobacterales; Enterobacteriaceae.
CCCCGGUAAACGGCGGCCGUAACUAUAACGGUCCUAAGGUAGCGAAAUUCCUUGUCGGGUAAGUUCCGACCUGCACGAAUGGCGUAAUGAUGGCCAGGCUGUCUCCACCCGAGACUCAGUGAAAUUGAACUCGCUGUGAAGAUGCAGUGUACCCGCGGCAAGACGGAAAGACCCCGUGAACCUUUACUAUAGCUUGACACUGAACAUUGAGCCUUGAUGUGUAGGAUAGGUGGGAGGCUUUGAAGUGUGGACGCCAGUCUGCAUGGAGCCGACCUUGAAAUACCACCCUUUAAUGUUUGAUGUUCUAACGUGGACCCGUAAUCCGGGUUGCGGACAGUGUCUGGUGGGUAGUUUGACUGGGGCGGUCUCCUCCUAAAGAGUAACGGAGGAGCACGAAGGUUGGCUAAUCCUGGUCGGACAUCAGGAGGUUAGUGCAAUGGCAUAAGCCAGCUUGACUGCGAGCGUGACGGCGCGAGCAGGUGCGAAAGCAGGUCAUAGUGAUCCGGUGGUUCUGAAUGGAAGGGCCAUCGCUCAACGGAUAAAAGGUACUCCGGGGAUAACAGGCUGAUACCGCCCAAGAGUUCAUAUCGACGGCGGUGUUUGGCACCUCGAUGUCGGCUCAUCACAUCCUGGGGCUGAAGUAGGUCCCAAGGGUAUGGCUGUUCGCCAUUUAAAGUGGUACGCGAGCUGGGUUUAGAACGUCGUGAGACAGUUCGGUCCCUAUCUGCCGU